RNAcentral lists this transfer RNA (75 nucleotides) under Klebsiella phage KpS8. RNAcentral's name for it is "tRNA-Pro". It matches the Rfam family "tRNA". From Rfam's summary of the family: Transfer RNA (tRNA) molecules are approximately 80 nucleotides in length. The record is from RNAcentral. Lineage: Duplodnaviria; Heunggongvirae; Uroviricota; Caudoviricetes.
CUGUUCGUAGCGCAGUCUGGUCAGCGUGGGUCCCUUGGAAGGAUCAGGUCGGUGGUUCAAAUCCACCCGGACAGA